AGAGACUUUUUAAAGAAAUCGUAAAAAAUAACAUAGAAAUUCAAAAAAUAUAUAUUAAAAUAGAAAUCUUAAUUAAAUUCCAAUCAAAAUUUAGUCAAAUCUUAAUCAAACCGUAGUCAAAACUUUGUCAAAUCCUUGUCAAAUCCUAAUCAACUUCUAAAUAAGUCCUAAUCAAACUCUAAUCAAAUCCUUAUCAAACUCUAAAUAAAUCCUAGUCAAAUCCUAAAUAAAUCCUACUCGAAUCCUAGACAAAUCUUAAAUAAGCUCUAAUCAAACUCUAAUCAAAUCCUAUUCAAAUCCUAAUCAAAUCUUGAAUAAAUCCUAAUAAAAUCCUAAUCAAAUCUUAGACAAAUCCUAAAUAAGUCUUAACCAAAUCUUGGACAAAUCUUAGUCAAAUUCUAGUCAAAUCCUAAUCAAACUUUAAAUAAAUCCUAUUAAAAUUCUAGAAAAAUCCUAAAUAUAGCCCUAACCAAAUCUUAUACAAAUCCUAGUCAAAUUCUAAUCAAAUUUUAUCAAAACUUAAACAAAUCCUAUUAAAAACCUAGUUAAAUCUUAUAUAAGCCCUAACCAAACCCUAGACAAAUCCUAUUCAAACUCUAAUCAAAUCCUAAUCAAAUCCUAAUUAAAUCCUAAUAAAAUCCUAGUCAAAUUCUAAACAAAUUCUAAAUAAGUCCUAAUCAAACCUUGGACAAAUUCUAAUCAAACUCUAGUCAAAUCCUAA
Molecule: long non-coding RNA, 721 nt
Filed under: Physcomitrium patens
Lineage: Eukaryota; Viridiplantae; Streptophyta; Bryopsida; Funariales; Funariaceae
Description: long non-coding RNA (PPAT_LNC010575)
Source: RNAcentral